RNAcentral lists this ribosomal RNA (253 nucleotides) under uncultured bacterium. Its description in RNAcentral is "partial 16S ribosomal RNA". It matches the Rfam family "Bacterial small subunit ribosomal RNA", at positions 524 to 776 of the family's 1533-position model. The record is from RNAcentral.
UACGGAGGGGGCGAGCGUUAUUCGGAAUUAUUGGGCGUAAAGGGCGCGUAGGCGGCUAUUCAAGUCAAAGGUGAAAUCCCUCGGCUCAACUGAGGAACUGCCUUUGAAACUGAAUGGCUUGAGUCCGGGAGGGGGUAGCGGAAUUCCCAGUGUAGCGGUGAAAUGCGUAGAUAUUGGGAGGAACACCAGUGGCGAAGGCGGCUCUCUGGGCUCUACCUGACGCUGAGACGCGAAAGCGUGGGGAGCGAACCGG